AGAGAAUCAUGUCGAGAGAACACAGUGAUAAAUUCUUAGAUUUGAUUCUCCAACCUGUCUUGCCGGAAUGCUUGUUCCGUUUGCUCAACUUCCUGGUAAUGCCUUUGAGGGCAGUGGUUACAGACAGCACUGCAGCGUGAAUCAUUGUCACAGCUGUAAUACACAAGGGUAGGCUAUAUCUCACCUUGUUGAUACCUUAAACCCUCCCACCUGCCAAAAAGCCGUCUCAUCGAGCAGGUGCCGCCUGUUUCUCCUAAAGGUGCUGCCUUCAGGUGUCUGGAUCACAAAAGACCUCGGCUGAACAUGGCUAUGUUUCACACCAGGAUAUCGUCCAUGACGUUCACAACUCCUUCUAAGUCCUCCAGUCUCUAAGCAAUGCACUUCUGGAAAACUUCUGGAGCUGAUGAGACACCAGAAGGAAGCUGUGUGAAUCGGUACCUACCGAAAGGUGUGUUAAAGGUCCACAACUUAGAACUGUCCUCAUCUAGCUGUAUUUGCCAGAACCCAUGGUUUGCGUCCAACACAGAAAAGAUCUUUGCAUUUGGCAUUUCUGCCACAACCUCCUCUACUGUCCGCAGAGGGUAGUGUCCCCUUUUUAUGUCUUUGUUGAGAUCUUGGGGGUCUAUGCAGAUUCUCAAUUUUUUGUUCGUUUUUUUGACCGUGACCAUGCUGUUAACCCAGUCAGUGGGCUCAGCUUGUUUUUCAACCACGUCAAGUUUCUCCAUCCUGUCCACUUUAGUUUUGAUUUGGUCUUUCAGUGCUAACGGCACUUUUCUGGGAGGGUGAAUAACCAGAGCGACUGCUGGAUCUAUCUGAAUGUGAUGCUGUCCCGGUACACAUCCCAACCCAGUGAACACGUCUUUAUAUUCUCUCAGGAUGUCUGUUUCCACUUCUUUGUCCAGUCUGUAGACUCUUUUUAUAAGUCCCAUUUCUGUGCAAGAAUCCCCUCCUAGGACAGCUGGUAAGUCAGCUCCUAUUAUCUGGAACUUCAACUCAUGCACUUUAGUUUUGUGCUCACAUUUCAGUUUUGCCAUGCCCAGUGGCACCACUUUGUGGCGGGAAUAUGUCACUAACUUGGUGCUGGACUCAAGUAGUGGAUCAUCCUUGUCAGCCACUUCGUGAAAGGUUGAAAGAGGUAGCACAUUGCAACCUGCACCAGUAUCUAACCUGAACGUGCACUUUUGAUCAUUCACUUUGAUUUCUUCAGUCCAUUUUUUCUGUUUUGUUUCUAUGGUAGCUCCUUUUUUCAGUCUGAGGCCUCUAGUUUCCCUGCGCGGCGCAGGGUGGUGCAGGGUGGCGAACCCCGCGCAGAGCUAGUUUCGAGCAGCGCAACCCGAGGCGCGCUCAGUUUGUUAGUUUGGCAGACCGAGAUGCGCUGAGAUGGGUGUGGCGGCACAGCAGGGGGAGAUGUCGACAGAUCCAGCUUGGCGCAGUGACACUUUGGUGCCAAAAGGCUUCGACGAAGGUGCACUAAAAGCUUGCCAGCUGAAACCAGGUCUACUGUCAGCGCAGGCAGAGUGCAGCCGGUGUAAGUGGACGUUUGGCUGACCAGCGGACAGUGCGCACACGUUUCCAAAACCUCACAGGCAGGUUUCCAGAAUGUCAGGCACAUUAACAAUGCAAUAAAUACCCCAAAAAAACACUAUUCAAUGCAACUAUCUGCUAUCAGCACAUAAAUGUAUCUCUAUAUCGACUGUCCCGUCACAUCUGAUGUCAGAUCAAAGGGGAUUGGCACCGUUUGGCACGUUUGGCACGCCUAAUGAAAACCCAACCUGAUUUGAUUAACACAGCUGCAAACUAAUGAGUUCACAUCCCUCUCAGCCAACCACAAAAAGCCACAGCUUCAGAUAGGGAGUAUAUAUUCAGCAUCUGUCAUCUUAAAUAGUCAAAAGAAAAUAAACAGAGUGAGACUGCGAGAGAGAGAGUGCGCGCACACGCACGAGAGAAAUGCUGUCAACAAAUUGUAGCCUAAGUUAUGUUCGGUGUCUUAAGGGUUUACGUGCUUUAUGUGAUUGCCUAUACAAAUGUUAAAAUGUUCUUGCUUAACGUGAUCUACAAAGAUGGAGUACAUUAUUGCGAGGAGGAAGACUUACGCAGAGAGGGUGUACCGUCAAAGGACAUCCUAUUUGGGCAUGACAGAGCUGGAAUGCAGGUGGGCCACACGAAUAAUGACUGGAAUACCGCCGUGUCCAUUGUAAUUGUAAUUUCAUGUCGUACUCUUUUUCAUUAUUCAGGAACAAAUUACAUCUACCCCGCAAGGUGGUCCAAGUGGUGACGCACAUCGUGGCCUCUGAUGCGCAUCCCGGUGGUACCUGUGCUCUCCCUGUUGCUGUAAAGGUGACAGUGGCUCUGACCGUCUUCGCCACCGGGUCUUUCCAGCACAACUUGGCCGCAGUGGCCGGGAUCUGUCAGUUCGGCUAUAGACGAAUUCGGUGAAAAAAACGGAAGUCAAGCAGCCGCCAUUACUGCGGUGACAGCUCCCCUCAUGGGCUCUGUGCGCGAAGCGGGCAUUUGGAUGCAAGCUCCAAGAAGUGGACCUUUUCUCUUCUGUGAAUAUGUCUAGGAAGGCUGGGAGGACAUGAGCCGUCCUCGGCUGUUCUGAUAACAGCGGAAAACUCCAACUUUGGAACAAAACUUUAUGCAAAAUACACAGCCCCUUACUUCACGAGGACUGUCCAUGUUUUAGACCGUGCAGUUUACACAGAUUUCCUGGGCGUGCCGAGGACCAAGGUGUUCGCCACAGGUGGAUAAAGAAUAUCAACAGAAAGGACUUCGUUCCCAAUAAAAACAAUACAGUGUGUGGAAUACACUUCCCUGAUGGCAGACCAAUGAAGGAAUACCCAUACCCUGUAUUGAGUAUGGGAUAUGAACAUCAUGAAACACUGCCAUAUGGAAGACCACCCCCAAAGAGAAGAUGUCUCGAGCCCUUAACAGACAACACAUCAUGUGAUGAACCUGAAGUAAUGGAUUCUGAAGCUGAAGUAAAUGUCACCAAUUUCGAAAAUACUGUGCCUCUGCAGAAAUGUGAUGUUGGCAUCCAGUGGCCAGAUACUAUAGACCAUAACUAUUGUUCUAACAAGUCAACAAAAGACAGUGCUACACAAACUGAUCCUGCACCGUCAGUGUCAGCUUGCGACUUGGAUGACAAAGACUCAAAGUUUUUCACUGGCCUAGGUAUUGACAGUUUUUGGCAACUUUUGUACACCAUCAUGGCUUUU
Molecule: long non-coding RNA, 3218 nt
Organism: Epinephelus moara (kelp grouper)
Lineage: Eukaryota; Metazoa; Chordata; Actinopteri; Perciformes; Serranidae
Exons: 4
Source: RefSeq, a predicted model, not a curated record